CUUCUAGUUCUUUUUUUCUUUUUCUUUUUCUUUUUUAAUAUGAUUUUAUUGCAUAAUCAUAUCUCCAUUUUAUAAGCAUUUUCUCUCUUCUGUUUGUUACAUGCGAUAUGGUAUGUAUUACACAAAAUUAAUUAAUCUCUCUUUUUCUUAAUUUGUUGGCAUAUACAUUUUUAUUAGUAACCUUCUUCAAUUCCACAUGAUUUCAUAUUUGCCUUUGUAACCUUUAUUUUGUGAUUCUAACAUUUCUCAACUCCAAACCUUAACUGACUGAUUAUUUAUUUAUUUAUAAGUUCAUUUAGUCCAUCUAUCUCAGUUAGCUUGAAAUGUUUUUGUUAUUAAUUUGCAAAGUCUAUGUUAUUUAUGAUUAUUGCUUGUUAACUCUGAAUAAAUUUUUGAUGUGACAGGGUUUAUUUCUUAUACGAGGUCAAUUAAUGGCAUGAGUAGUUUCGGAAAAGUGUGUUGCCCACUGAAGAUGAGGCUGCAUCUGCCUUGCACCGGAGGAGUACCAAUAUAUUUUAGUUAUCAUUACAGAUCCUCAACACAAAUUAACGCAAGUUAAACUGUUAUCCCUAACCAAUUAAACUGUAUGCAAGUUAAAAAUUUGGAAUAACUUGUGAAAUAUUAUGAAAUACCUUAACUCUUUGGCUCUUUGGUGGACUUUUCUCAACAACUACUCGCUCUGCAGCUUUGCAAGUUCUUGUAUUAUGUCCAUAAUCCAAGCAUUUUGAACACUUUCACUUUUUCUUUUGACCUGCUCAGAUGGGUUGAACAUCACUUUUUUUAUUUUUUUGUUUCUCUUCUUUGGUCCUAUUGGUUGGAGGAUGGAUAGGGGUUGUGGGCUCUGUUUAUAGCUGCCUUCUCAUAGACAUGAGGUUGAUUAUUAAGGUGUAUUUCGCUACAUGAAUUAAAGUUGGUGUAAUUGAAAAAAAAAAAAUAGUUCAAUUUUCUAAAUUUUUUUUCUUCAAUUUCACUAAUUUUAAUUUCAAUAUUUCCAUUCUUUGCAACCGUGUAUAUCUUUAUUUUGAAUUGACUUUUGUAAUUUCCACCAUUAAAAAGACUUGAAAAAGCGACCAAAAUUUAGCCCUAUCUGAGCAGGGAUGCACAUAUAUAGCACAUAUAUAGGGAGUUUCCUUCAUGUCUACAAGGCAUACUUGUAGCAUCUCAUUUCAAACUUAACGCACUUAUAUACCAAAAAAAAAACUUUAGGGGAGAUAUUUCUCCAAAUUUUAAAUAUUAGGAAUGUUAUUCUCACUUUGCCCAUAUAAAUAUAUAUAUUCUUUCGGCAAGAAACUCACAUUUUGCCUGAGAUUUAUCUACUUUGCUUUACAUUAGCCACUUUAUAACCAUCAUGUAAUAAAUUGAUCUGUAAUCCAUAAUUACACAAUCAAGCGGUUGAAGACCUUUGGGUGACGGAUGCUAGACCUGGCAAAUGGCAAGUUGUAGCUCCCUCAGAAAAUCUUCUGCGUGCAUUCCAGGGAAUAAUUGAAGGUUUAGAACAAUUUAUUGAGAAAGAGGAUACUCAUACUACGGAGGCACUCUAGAAGAGCAUAUCAAUUUCAGAAGAAGGGGAAGCUAAGCUGACCACACCUUUGACUUUUCCAGAAGAGGAUCAGUUUCUUGCAUUAAGGAAUGAUUUAAUCCAAUUUAGAGAUUUGGUUGAGUUGGCUGCAAGCAGAUUCCCUGGUAUGGGAUAUCCUCGGCCUGGUGUCAUGUUUUUAUUCGAUGAAUUGGUAUCUCGUUACAUCAGCCGAUGCCAGACAGUGGAGGAGUUGAAAGGACAAAUCCAUUGUUUUAUAAUAGCGAGAAGAGAUGCUAUGUUGUGUGAAAAACAUUCACGAUGCUAAAGGUGCAGUAUGGUAUCAUUAGGAGAAUUUCCUUGAUCGGGAGGUGGACAUAUAUGAUCGACUCGCACAUUGCAGUGCAAGGAGAACAACAGCUAUAUAAAAUCCUAGUACAUGGUACCGAAGAUGGCAGUACAGAUCCCAUGUAUUUGGGACCUUGGGCCGCUCUCAUAUUCCAAAGGAAUGUGUAUGAACAUUUGAAUUGCUUUUUCGGAAUAUGCCAGAGUUUGUUCUGAAAUAUUUCUUUGAAAUGGUGGCGAAUUUUUAUGAUGUAAAUCUUAAUUAUGUCAGGGUUAGCUGCCUACGAACCUUGAAAUAUCCUCCAUACCCCCUCGGUCACUAGUAUAUUGGAAGCCUUUUUGCAGUUUUUCAGCAUUUUGGAAAAGAGUUUGUUGUAGCAGGAAUGCCGGAUCCGGUGGAACCAUGGCGUCGUUUGAGAGCGAGGACUCCACUCACAACCACCAGGAUUUCGACUUGAACUUGCCGGAAUAGUCCUCUGCCAAAGAAACUCCAUUUAUCAAUGAUAGCAAAUUAAAGUUCCUCUUAAAUUGAUUAGAUUACAGUAGUUUUUUAAAGAACUUUUUCACUUCUUUAUCUAUACGUUACAUCUUUUUAUUGUGAUCAUUGAGCAGAUUCCCUUGGCAUUCCAUCCCAGCAAAGCUCUUUCACCAACUUUUGUUGAAAGAUACCAAUGAAAUUUUGUACUAAUCACUUUCUCAAUGUAAUUGUAGUGUACAUGCUAAAAUGGGUUUUUUUAGUAAAGUCGAGUCAUGUUUUAUUGCC
Cornus florida is the source of this 2624-nucleotide long non-coding RNA. RefSeq lists it as uncharacterized. The transcript has 8 exons. The record is from RefSeq and is a predicted model, not a curated record. Lineage: Eukaryota; Viridiplantae; Streptophyta; Magnoliopsida; Cornales; Cornaceae.